Long non-coding RNA from Folsomia candida, 472 nucleotides. RefSeq lists it as uncharacterized. The record is from RefSeq and is a predicted model, not a curated record. NCBI's taxonomy places the organism in Eukaryota, Metazoa, Arthropoda, Collembola, Entomobryomorpha, Isotomidae. The transcript has 2 exons.
CACUGUCGUUAGAAGGGGGUGUAUUUACGUAUUUAGGAAUUGGAAUAAUAUUAUUUGUAACUUUACAUAUUUAUUUUUGAUCUACUGGUAAUUUUACAGCAACUGGAGAGUCACCGUUGUGCCUAAGUGUUAGCGUUAUCUGGGCCCUCAAGAAUGCGAUCAAAUCUGCAAGAAAAGAUGCUGGAAACACGGAUUGGUAUCAGAUCAGUGAGUACAUAGUCAUGCGAUUCUUUUUUGCUAAGAAAAUUUUCUACUUUUUCUCUAAACAAAUACGAAAUUGCCGGAAUUGGGCAAUGUUAAUUAUCGAUUUCUGUACUUUUUGUUAAGGUGGGCCCCUAACGCCGGAAGAUAUUCAACAGCUUGCUUUCACGGAUAAGAAACAAUUUGACAUUUAGUUUGCUGAGAUUGCAAUAAACUGAGCAUUUACUUUUUAUUAUUUUGGGUUCUGUAAAUAAAUAACGUAACACUUUUA